This 467-nucleotide ribosomal RNA is filed under the name Ascodipteron sp. Di137. RNAcentral describes it as "partial 16S ribosomal RNA". The record is from RNAcentral. Lineage: Eukaryota; Metazoa; Arthropoda; Insecta; Diptera; Streblidae.
UAACCUAUUCUUAAUCCAACAUCGAGGUCGCAAUCAAUUUUAUCAAUUUGAACUAUCCAAAAUAAUUACGCUGUUAUCCCUAAAGUAUCUUAAUCUAAUGUCAUUAUUAAUGGAUCAUUAAUUCAUAAAUAUGUAAAAUAUAAAUAUAAAAGUUAAUUAAAUUUUACUAUCACCCAAUAAAAUAAAUAUAUUAAUUAAUAUUAAAAUAUCCUUAAUAAUAUUAAUUAAUUUAUUAUAAAGAUUUAUAGGGUCUUCUCGUCUUUUAAACUUAUUUUAGCUUUUUAACUAAAAAAUAAAUUUCUAUUAUAAAUUCAUAUGAAACAGUUAAUAUUUCGUCCAACCAUUCAUUCCAGCCUUCAAUUAAAAGACAAUUUAUUAUGCUACCUUUGUACAGUCAAUAUACUGCAGCCGUUAAAUUAUUCAAUGGGCAGGUCAAACUUUUUAAAAAUACUCAAAAAGACAUGUUU